Planococcus citri (citrus mealybug) is the source of this 1711-nucleotide long non-coding RNA. RefSeq lists it as uncharacterized. The record is from RefSeq and is a predicted model, not a curated record. The transcript is spliced from 2 exons. NCBI's taxonomy places the organism in Eukaryota, Metazoa, Arthropoda, Insecta, Hemiptera, Pseudococcidae.
UGGUAUGCACCUCGAUUAAACAGUAUUCAGCCAUGAUUCAAUCAAUUCUGGGUAUUUCCCAUCCCCAGAAUAUGGCGGGAAACAGAUCGCCAGAGCUGCAGUGUGAAAUCGAAAUUAUUAGUAAUAGAAAAAAAUAGAGGGGCAAAGAGGAGGAUUUCCGUCCAAUUACUUAUCUGUAGUAAGUUGUGAUAAAGAAUAUUAUGCAGAUAUCUGAAAAACAAAGUGUAAUGACCAAAUUGUAUUUCACAGUUACUAAACAUUACCGUUAAAGUAAUAUCGUAUUAAUUUUUUAUUGCUGUGUGUGAAUUUUAUUUGCAAAUCAAUUAGACAAUGUUUAAUUCAACACUCACUUAUCAAUAAUAAUUGAUCACAUCGUUGAAAGUUGAAUCAUCAGAACUUCAGGAGUGCAUUUUCACGAACGUUCGAAUACCUACUAAUGAGCUGAGGCCUUAUCAGGUUUUGAAAAACUUCACAUCUCGCAAAACACAAUGUCUCCAGAACUACAACGAUUGUUUUUCUUCCUGAUGCUGAUAAUACUAACCGUACCUUCCAGUAUCUGCCUGAUCAUUCAUUUCUACAAAUUCAUCAGAAGCCCUCGUUCGCAAAGUUUGGCUACCAGGAUGCUUACUCUUUACUCUUUCAUCUUAUUCAUACUCUACAUCAGCACGUUCGUACAUUUAUACUGGAACGAUCCCCAAUACCAUACGUUCGAAGAAAAUAAAUCGAUUCUUCCGUACAUAAUGGCUUUCAUGAUGUACUUAGUACUAACGACGAUAUUUUUAAAAUUUCUAAUAGCCCUAGAUAUAUGUAUGUGUUUUCGACAAGUAGCUUUGUAUUUGAGAAAACCUUUAGGUUCUCAAAACCUGAGAUUCGCGGUGUAUAGCUGUAUAAGCAUCGGUAUUCCUUCGAUUUUCACGUUAUGGUCGUUGUUCAUAUACGCGAAUAAAAACAUAGAGUAUUUAUGCCAAAGUCAAGUUUGGGCCAUGAGGAUUAUUCGUACGAUACGUUUGAUCCCUGUGAUUGCUUCAUUUUGGUACAUUAGAAAGUCCAGUAUCGAUAAAGACGAAUUAUGGAAGAGGUUUUCUUUACACUUGCGCCUUCUCAUCAUGCUCGGUGGGUUUUCUACUGCAUUGGCUCUGACUGAAUUUAUCGGGAGUAGAUUUGACGACGGAACGGAUCAAGCGCAGAAACCAAUUCGUAACUACGAGUGGGUUUAUUUUUUUAUUCAUUUUAUCGGGUGUACUUCGGAAGGGCUUGUAAUUGGGGUAUUUUUCACAUUCAGGAAAGAUACCUUUAAGCCUGUAGAAUGUUGAAAUUUUCAAAAUACACGAUUUUGAAGUUCCUGCCUCAAUUUGAGGCAAAAACGAAUGAAAGUUCAAAGUUAGAGAGAGGAUAACUUAAUUUUCUCAAAGUGAUGACAACAUUGAUUCUUUUGUUUAGAAAUUUUUUUUGUGAGGAAAUUUACCUGUUUUUGCAAAAAAAUAAAUCAAAUUGAAUAAACGAAUAAAUUCUGGGAUCAACAAGAGUAUAAUUAUAGUUUUCAAGUUGAAUGAAAAGUCGCGUUCAGAAUUAAACCAGGAAAUUCUCAUUUUUUUAAAUCUUCAGCAAUCGCCCCCCGCCCAAAUCCCGACACCUAUUACAAGUAUCUACGUUAUCUCAUAAGCAUGUUAGUAACCGAUUAUAAAAUCUCAAUAAAUAGUUUGAAAAAAUU